UCCGGUUGAUCCUGCCGGACCCCACUGCUAUCGGGGUGAGGCUAAGCCAUGCAAGUCGAAGGUCCCCAGCUUCCGGGGGCCUGGCAGACGGCUCAGUAACACGUGGCCAACCUACCCUAGGGAGGUAGAUAACCCCUGGGAAACUGGGGUUAAACUACCAUAGGGGGCGGGAUCUGGAAAGACCUGCCUCUGGAAGUGGUGUACAGGGAUGCCUGUACACCAGCCCUAGGAUGGGGCUGCGGCCCAUCAUGGUUGUUGGUGGGGUAACGGCCCACCAAGCCUAUAACGGGUACGGGCCCUGAGAGGGGGAGCCCGGAGAUGGACUCUGAGACAAGAGUCCAGGCCCUACGGGGCGCAGCAGGCGCGAAAACUCCCCAAUGCCCGAAAGGGUGAGGGGGUCACCUCGAGUGCCACCCUCGUGGUGGCUUUUUGCGGGGUCUAAAAAGCCCCGCGAAUAAGGGGAGGGCAAGACGGGUGUCAGCCGCCGCGGUAAUACCCGCUCCCCGAGUGGUGGGGACUAUUACUGGGCUUAAAGCACCCGUAGCCGGCCGGAUGUGUCUCCCGUUAAAUCCACGGGCCUAACCCGUGGGCUGCGGGAGAUACUAUCCGGCUUGGGGGUGGGAGAGGGCGGCGGUAUUCCCGGGGUAGGGGUAAAAUCCACUGAUCCCGGGAGGACCACCGGUGGCGAAGGCGGCCGCCCAGAACACGCCCGACGGUGAGGGGUGAAAGCUGGGGGAGCAAACGGGAUUAGAUACCCCGGUAGUCCCAGCUGUAAACGAUGCGGGCUAGGUGUCGGGUGGGCUACGGGCUCACCCGGUGCCGAAGGGAAACCAUUAAGCCCGCCGCCUGGGGAGUACGGCCGCAAGGCUGAAACUUAAAGGAAUUGGCGGGGGAGCACCACAAGGGGUGGACGUUGCGGCUUAAUUGGAGUCAACGCCGGG
This 941-nucleotide ribosomal RNA is filed under the name uncultured archaeon. RNAcentral describes it as "bacterial SSU rRNA". It matches the Rfam family "Archaeal small subunit ribosomal RNA", at positions 1 to 922 of the family's 1478-position model. The record is from RNAcentral.